CUGGAGUGCCCUCCGGGGCUUAUCCUUCAACCCUUUGAUGUUAUCGACAUUAUCUAUUCAUCUUUUGGUGGGUUCGCCCACCAAAAGGAAUCUCAAACUCGUUAAGAAUUUGUUAUCUUCUGAACUAUAUAUAAAUAAAUUA
Molecule: unclassified non-coding RNA, 142 nt
Filed under: uncultured Lecanoromycetes
Lineage: Eukaryota; Fungi; Ascomycota; Lecanoromycetes
Description: sequence contains ITS1
Source: RNAcentral